RNAcentral lists this ribosomal RNA (475 nucleotides) under North Sea bacterium 10-77. RNAcentral's name for it is "bacterial SSU rRNA". It matches the Rfam family "Bacterial small subunit ribosomal RNA", at positions 28 to 498 of the family's 1533-position model. The record is from RNAcentral.
GAUGAACGCUGGCGGCAGGCCUAACACAUGCAAGUCGAGCGGUAACAGAGAGUAGCUUGCUACUUUGCUGACGAGCGGCGGACGGGUGAGUAAUGCUUGGGAACAUGCCUUUAGGUGGGGGACAACAGUUGGAAACGACUGCUAAUACCGCAUAACGUCUACGGACCAAAGGGGGCUUCGGCUCUCGCCUAAAGAUUGGCCCAAGUGGGAUUAGCUAGUUGGUGAGGUAAUGGCUCACCAAGGCAACGAUCCCUAGCUGGUUUGAGAGGAUGAUCAGCCACACUGGAACUGAGACACGGUCCAGACUCCUACGGGAGGCAGCAGUGGGGAAUAUUGCACAAUGGGCGAAAGCCUGAUGCAGCCAUGCCGCGUGUGUGAAGAAGGCCUUCGGGUUGUAAAGCACUUUCAGUCAGGAGGAAAGGUUAGUAGUUAAUACCUGCUAGCUGUGACGUUACUGACAGAAGAAGCACCGGCU